This 344-nucleotide ribosomal RNA is filed under the name uncultured bacterium. RNAcentral describes it as "bacterial SSU rRNA". It matches the Rfam family "Bacterial small subunit ribosomal RNA", at positions 8 to 334 of the family's 1533-position model. The record is from RNAcentral.
AGGGUUUGAUUCUGGCUCAGGAUGAACGCUGGCGGCGUGCUUAACACAUGCAAGUCGAACGAAGCACCUUGAUUUGAUUCUUCGGAUGAAGAUCUUGGUGACUGAGUGGCGGACGGGUGAGUAACGCGUGGGUAACCUGCCUCAUACAGGGGGAUAACAGUUAGAAAUGACUGCUAAUACCGCAUAAGACCACAGCACCGCAUGGUGCAGGGGUAAAAACUCCGGUGGUAUGAGAUGGACCCGCGUCUGAUUAGGUAGUUGGUGGGGUAACGGCCUACCAAGCCGACGAUCAGUAGCCGACCUGAGAGGGUGACCGGCCACAUUGGGACUGAGACACGGCCCAA